AUUUUUAUAGUUGAACCUACAACAGUAGCUUUUCAUGCUUCAAGUUUGGGUUGAACUCCCAAUAAAAAUU
RNAcentral lists this transfer RNA (70 nucleotides) under Nepanthia belcheri. RNAcentral's name for it is "tRNA-Glu". It matches the Rfam family "tRNA". From Rfam's summary of the family: Transfer RNA (tRNA) molecules are approximately 80 nucleotides in length. The record is from RNAcentral. Lineage: Eukaryota; Metazoa; Echinodermata; Asteroidea; Valvatida; Asterinidae.